Non-coding RNA from Galeopterus variegatus (Sunda flying lemur), 681 nucleotides. The record is from the annotation of a RefSeq genome assembly. NCBI's taxonomy places the organism in Eukaryota, Metazoa, Chordata, Mammalia, Dermoptera, Cynocephalidae.
AUGUGUCCAUAUGAAGAGUUCUGGGGCCUGGCUGGCCUGUGUCAUGACUGUAUUGAGUUAGGAGAACAGCUUUCUGAAUCCCCACAACUUGUCCUGGAGGAGACAGCUGCAGAGGAAGCCAAUAUCCUGUACACUCAGCAGAAGUGCAGUGAAGGGGAAUGGCUGAGGGGACCAACAGUGACUCCUACAUCUACUCAGAGAAAAGAUGUGGACCUUCAAUCUGAAGCUCCUAUGUGCGUGCAUCUUUUGAGAACGAGAUCCUGGCAGGCUGGCUGCAAGAGUCAGUCCCAGUCAGGACACAGCAUAGACAUGAGGACGCCCAUUCAGCUCUUGGGGCUCCUGCUGCUCUGGCUCUCAGGUGCCAGAUGUGACAUCCAGAUGACACAGUCUCCAGAAUCCCUGUCUGCAUCUGUAGGAGACUCAGUCACCAUCACUUGCCAGGCCAGUCAGAACAUUGGCAGUUUAUUAAACUGGUAUCAGCAGAAACCAGGAAAAUCUCCUAAGCUUCUAGUCUAUGCAGCAUCAAAUUUGGACACUGGGGUCUCCUUGAGGUUCAGUGGCAGUAGAUCUGGGACAGAUUUCACUCUCAGCAUCAGCAGCCUGGAGCCUGAAGAUAUUGCAACUUAUUACUGUCAACAGUAUUAUAAUAUCCCUCCCACAGUGAUACAAGUCAUAGCAUAA